UAGUCCACGCCCUAAACGAUGCUUACUCGGCAUUGGCGAUACACAGUCAGUGCCUAAGGGAAACCACUAAGUAAGCCACCUGGGGAGUACGUUCGCAAGAAUGAAACUCAAAGGAAUUGACGGGGGCCCGCACAAGCGGUGGAGCAUGUGGUUUAAUUCGAAGCAACGCGCAGAACCUUACCCAGGCUUGACAUCUUUGGAACCCUUGGGAAACCUUGGGGUGCUGUCUUACGACAGAACCGAAUGACAGGUGCUGCAUGGCUGUCGUCAGCUCGUGCUGUGAGGUGUUCGGUUAAGUCCGGCAACGAGCGCAACCCCUGCCGUUAGUUACCAGCAUUUAGUUGGGGACUCUAAUGGGACUGCCGGUGAUAAACCGGAGGAAGGUGGGGACGACGUCAAGUCCUCAUGGCCCUUAUGUCUGGGGCUACGACACGUGCUACAAUGGCAUUUACAAAGGGCCGCAAAGCCGCAAGGUCAAGCAAAUCCCAUAAACGGAUGCCUCAGUUCGGAUUGGAGUCUGCAAC
Molecule: ribosomal RNA, 524 nt
Filed under: uncultured bacterium
Lineage: Bacteria
Description: bacterial SSU rRNA
Rfam family: Bacterial small subunit ribosomal RNA
Source: RNAcentral